RNAcentral lists this ribosomal RNA (377 nucleotides) under uncultured bacterium. Its description in RNAcentral is "bacterial SSU rRNA". It matches the Rfam family "Bacterial small subunit ribosomal RNA", at positions 523 to 898 of the family's 1533-position model. The record is from RNAcentral.
ACACGUAGGAGGCAAACGUUAUCCGGAUUUACUGGGCGUAAAGCGCGUGUAGGUGGUUCUGUAAGUAGGGCGUGAAAGCUCCCGGCUCAACUGGGAGAGGCCGUUCUAAACUGCAGAACUAGAGGAUGGUAGAGGGAGGUGGAAUUUCAGGUGUAGCGGUGGAAUGCGCAGAUAUCUGAAGGAACACCAGUGGCGAAAGCGGCCUCCUGGACCAUUCCUGACACUCAGACGCGAAAGCUAGGGUAGCAAACGGGAUUAGAGACCCCGGUAGUCCUAGCCCUAAACGAUGUAGACUAGACGUCGGUGGUGUAAUAGCUGUCGGUGUCCAAGCUAACGCGAUAAGUCUACCGCCUGGGGACUACGGCCGCAAGGUUAAA